Molecule: ribosomal RNA, 253 nt
Filed under: uncultured bacterium
Lineage: Bacteria
Description: partial 16S ribosomal RNA
Rfam family: Bacterial small subunit ribosomal RNA
Source: RNAcentral
UACGUAGGGUGCGAGCGUUAAUCGGAAUUACUGGGCGUAAAGCGUGCGCAGGCGGUUCGUCGUGUCCGAUGUGAAAGCCCCGGGCUCAACCUGGGAAUGGCAUUGGAAACUGGCGGGCUUGAGUAUGAAAGAGGGUCGCGGAAUUCCCGGUGUAGAGGUGAAAUUCGUAGAUAUCAGGAGGAACACCAGUGGCGAAGGCGGCGACCUGGGCCAAUACUGACGCUGAGGUGCGAAAGCGUGGGGAGCAAACAGG